This 420-nucleotide ribosomal RNA is filed under the name uncultured bacterium. Its description in RNAcentral is "bacterial SSU rRNA". It matches the Rfam family "Bacterial small subunit ribosomal RNA", at positions 102 to 520 of the family's 1533-position model. The record is from RNAcentral.
ACGGGUGCGUAACACGUAUGUAACCUUUCCUUAACUGGAGAAUAGCUCCGAGAAAUCGGGAUUAAUACUCCAUAACACUGCGAAGUGGCAUCACUUUGCAAUUAAAGCUCCGGCGGUUAAGGGCGGGCAUGCGUCCCAUUAGCUAGUUGGCGAGGUAACGGCUCACCAAGGCUACGAUGGGUAGGGGUUCUAAGAGGAUUUACCCCCACACUGGCACUGAGAUACGGGCCAGACUCCUACGGGAGGCAGCAGUAAGGAAUAUUGGUCAAUGGGCGCAAGCCUGAACCAGCCAUGCCGCGUGUAGGAUGAAGGUCCUACGGAUUGUAAACUACUUUUGUACGGGAAAAAACCCCUCGUUUCUACGAGGGUUGAUGGUACUGUAAGAAUAAGGAUCGGCUAACUCCGUGCCAGCAGCCGCGG